RNAcentral lists this ribosomal RNA (837 nucleotides) under Triticum aestivum (bread wheat). Its description in RNAcentral is "partial small subunit ribosomal RNA". The record is from RNAcentral. Lineage: Eukaryota; Viridiplantae; Streptophyta; Magnoliopsida; Poales; Poaceae.
AUGGGUGUUCCGGUCGGUCUCGCCUGGACCUGGAGCACAGCCCUCCGGCUCCGGCGGCGCCACCUCGACGGCGACGAACGUGAUGUUGGAGCGGCAGAGGGGGCAAUUGGAGUGCGACUUGAGCCAAGUGUCGAUGCACUGCUGGUGGAACGCAUGGCUGCAUUUGGGCAGCAGCCGGAGGCUCUCCCCGUCGUCGAACUCGCCGAGGCAGACCGAGCAGUCGGUGGUGUGGAGGACGGGCCCGUCGCCGCGCCUGUACUUGCACACCGUGAUCUUGUUGAUCAGGGUCUCGUCCAGCCCGCUCGCCGGCGACACGUUCCACGACUCCUGGCUCCUGGACUGCCCGUGGCCGCUCCCAGGACCGCCGGUGCCCCCACCGCCGCCGGAGCCGGAGCCGGGGCCAAAGAGCCUCCUCCGGAGGGAGCCGAAGGUGCCGCAGUACUUGGAGAUGAAGGUGUAGUAGCUGACGAGGAGGAAGGCGGUGGCCAGCACGCCGAUGAUGGCGAUGACGAGCGGGGAGAAGACGUGGCCGGAGGAGUCGUCGGGGCCGGGGCCGGCGAGGUCGAAGGGCGGCGGCGGGGGGAAGAUGAAGUAGCACCACUGGGGGCAGUAGAGGCUGCAGAGCCCCUGGGAGCAGUCCCUGGUUGGCUCGUAGGGCACCCAGGUGGGCUCCGUCCCGACGAUUGCAGGCGGCGAGGACGCCAUAGCCUCCCCCUCCUCCUCCUCCUAGCACCAAAUCUUGGCAACCGCAACAGCAGGCGAGAAACAGAGACAGAUGUGUUGCCAACCACCUCACUCACUCACUCAGUCCGAGACGACUGGGUGCUCAGGUACUAG